UCUGUCAAUUGCUUGCUAUGUGAAAUUCAAUACACUUGUCUUUACAUAUUUCAUGCUUGGAUAUACUGCACUUAUUUUUUGGUUACUUUGAGAAACAAGGAUUUCUCGGAGAAACAUUUAAAGUGAAAUUUAUAUCAUAUGUUUAUAAAUAUCCCAAGUUCUUGCUAAUACACAAGAAAAAACUUGAUAAACUGCCAUGCCACAUCUUCCUUCUCAGUUUGGAUCGGUCCCGUCUUUUUUGUUUCAGUUGUUUUCAAUUAUCUAGUAUGCUUGCUUUUGUCUGAUCACCAGGUAAAUUUUUUUGCUUAAUCUUAAAUAAUAUGGCCGCAGGUUUUCAGCUUAAGAUUGAUGGAUUUGGCUUCUGAUUCAUUGCACAUUUAUGUUAGGUGGAAAAUGCAAUUAUGGUGAGAGCUCACCUAGCCAUAAUGGUGAUAUUAUGGCAAUGGCAUAUACAAAAAAUAAUUUUUUUAUUUUUUACCUAUGUAAAAGAUAAAUCACCAUUAUGGUAUCAAAAAUCAAUUCCAUGUUUUGUAAAUAAUGCAUUAGCCCUUUCAUGAAGUUUGUCUAUCUAUGAUGAAAAUAGUAACACGUCACAGUUGAAUUUGUAUUAUAAAUACAGAUUUAUGGUAUGGUGUGUUUCACACCUACUCAUGUACAUAAUGGUUUGCCAUACUGCUAUGUAUUGUACUAUACCGUACCAAACUACCAAUACCAAACUGGUAUGCUGUCUCAUAACUUAUCAACACUUGAUAAGUCUUGCUGUCUUAUACCAUACCACAUAUUGAUACUGUAAUAGAAUGGUAGCUAUGCAAGGUUCGGUAUCAAGAUAAUGAACCUUGAUACAAUGUUUGAAAAUCUUAGUAGUGUAUGAGAUGAUAUGUGUCUGAGAGAGAGAGAGAGAGAGAGAGAGAGAGUUUUGACUCAUAGAUGGUUCUCUUCUAUAACUUCUCCUAUGCCUCUCAUCAUUUCUUAAUUAGAUUUAUCAUGUACUCAUGUUAUCCUUGUGUCUGUUAUUUUUUCUUUGCUUGUAUCUUUCUAUUUGACUGAGACUACAAAGUCUCCAAGAAUCAGCUGUGCAGUGGUUGAGGUGGUGAAUUUCUUUUCUUGUAUGUUCCUUCAAUCCUUGUACACAAUAGUUCUUAGUGAAGAUAAUCAUCUCUUUUUUCCUUCUUAAAUGCAAGUAGCUCAGUUGCACCUCUUUAUAUUUUAUGUUCUCAGGGAUUAUUCAUGCACUUGUUUCUAUUCUCUUGUUAAAUUGUUCUUGGGAUGUAGUUGUAUCAUUGAUCCACAAAAGCAAGUGAUUGUGAACAGUUGUAUGGUGUGAAAACCCUUAAAAAAUGGAAGAUUAGUGAAAUGAUACUAGUGUCUAGGCAUAUGCUAGAGCAAUAAUGACAAUGGAAGGGUCAAUUAUGAUUGUUGGGUUCAAAAUAACUUUUGGUUGUAGCAGAGAAGAGCGACAUGCACCUGCCCUCCUACCUUUGUAUAUAUUUACAUAUGAAUCUAUAUGUAUCUUUCAACAUAUAUAUGCAUGCAUGUAUAUUUGUGAUGUAUGUACAUAUGUGCACUUCUAGGACUGUUGUGCCAC
Molecule: long non-coding RNA, 1585 nt
Filed under: Elaeis guineensis (African oil palm)
Lineage: Eukaryota; Viridiplantae; Streptophyta; Magnoliopsida; Arecales; Arecaceae
Description: long non-coding RNA (EGUI_LNC016844)
Source: RNAcentral